RNAcentral lists this transfer RNA (70 nucleotides) under Oscaecilia ochrocephala. RNAcentral describes it as "tRNA-Tyr". It matches the Rfam family "tRNA". From Rfam's summary of the family: Transfer RNA (tRNA) molecules are approximately 80 nucleotides in length. Their secondary structure includes four short double-helical elements and three loops (D, anti-codon, and T loops). Lineage: Eukaryota; Metazoa; Chordata; Amphibia; Gymnophiona; Caeciliidae. The record is from RNAcentral.
GGUAAAAUGGCUGAGUGUUAAGCGGCGGAUUGUAGCUCCGAGGAGAGAGGUUUAAAUCCUUUUAUUACCA